This 253-nucleotide unclassified non-coding RNA is filed under the name uncultured Rhodobacterales bacterium. Its description in RNAcentral is "contains 16S-23S intergenic spacer region". It matches the Rfam family "Bacterial small subunit ribosomal RNA", at positions 524 to 776 of the family's 1533-position model. The record is from RNAcentral. Lineage: Bacteria; Pseudomonadati; Pseudomonadota; Alphaproteobacteria; Rhodobacterales.
UACGAGGGGGGUUAGCGUUGUUCGGAAUUACUGGGCGUAAAGCGCACGUAGGCGGAUUGUUAGGUCAGGGGUGACACCCUGGGGCUCAACCCCGGAACUGCCUUUGAUACUGGCAAUCUUGAGUUCGAGAGUGGUGAGUGGAAUUCCGGGUGUAGAGGUGAAAUUCGUAGAUAUUCGGAGGAACACCAGUGGCGAAGGCGGCUCACUGGCUCGAAACUGACGCUGAGGUGCGAAAGCGUGGGGAGCAAACAGG